AAGUUAAGCACGAAAAAUAAGCGGGGGAAGUCUGAAACCAGCAGCGAAGGUGAUAAUAACGAGGAAAAUGGCGUCAGCGUUCAACCCCCCGGGAACGAAGCGUCCUCCGAUCUUGAGCGUCCAAAGACUCAAGAGAAAACCAAAAGGAGCCGUAGGUCCCACCAACAAACCGAUAGUGACGUCGAAGUCACGACAGAAACGAAAAAUGAUGACGAGAAUGGAAGCUCUAUCAAAAAACGAAGGAAAAAAUCACAGCAGCCAACCACAUCUGAAAGCAUAUCAGACAACGCAGAAUACGAAGUUCUGAAGAUUGUGGGUCAGCGAACUAUAAAAGGACGCCGACAAUUCCUGGUUCAGUGGGUGGGUUAUGAUGAAAAUGAUAAUACUUGGGAAGAUGAAAACAAUCUGGACUGUUUAGAGUUAAUACAGGAAUAUUUAGCAGAAGUUGAUGACACUUCUGACAAAUCUCCCAAAAUAUCUAAAGUAUCUAAAGAUCGCAAAAAAGGCACUAAAGACCAAACAUCUAAGUCAGGAAGCCAAUCAACACCCACCUCUCCAAUAAAAAAAAACCAAUCUGGUCGCUCGAAGGCAUCUGACAAAGAAUCCAAGAUCUCAGAAAAGAGUAAAGAAAACAAUGAGCAGAUAGGUGAAGCAGAGGAUGAAGCAGAGGAUACAGAAGAAACCAAAGAAUUUGAGGUCGAAAAAAUUAUUGAAGUUCAUUUCGACAAGAAAAAUAAAAAACGAGAUUUCUUGAUACAUUGGAAGGGCUUCAGUACAACCGAGGACUCUUGGGAACCAGAGGAAAAUCUCAAUUGUCCAGAACUGAUAGCAAAAUUCAUGAACAAGGUAGAGGCAGCCAAACAAACUGAAUUACGAGAGCUACGAACAAACCCUGCUCAUACGAAGAGAUAUACCCUGAUGUCGCACGAUUCUGGGAGAAGAAUUUCCCGCCGCAAUGUGAACAAACAACGUGCAACAUACCAUCAGUGCGACGAAUAAAAGGCAAAACAAGAUAUAUCAUUGUUCACAUUACAUAAGAGGACUAUUCAUUGGAUUUGUUUUUUUUUAAGAAUAUUUUAAAAAGAGUGUUGAUAUAAAACGUAACUGGUGGAAAUGAGAACAAAAAAAUUAUGAUUUCCUACUAUUGCUCUAUGAAUAGUGCAACGAGUAUUUUCUUUGAAGAUUGCACAAUAAUGGCUAGUACUCCCAAACACAAGCUGCUAAAAUAAUUGCAAUCGAUUUCAAUGAUGUUCUGUGUUUCCACUUUUAUAUCAUAAGGACACAUAUUUAAUGUUGUUCUAGAAACUAGAGCAUAAAGUGUAUUUAUCAUCAGUAAUUGCAUCAAGUGCAUCCGUACUUGUUUCAAUGCAAAUUCGCCUGUUUAGAUUAUGGCAGUGCUUGCCUUUGCUUGAAGGUUGAAUUGAAAUAGAAAUUAAGUUCCAAUAUUUGUUAUUCUUCGAUUAUUCUUCAUAAAUAUUGCUAUGUGUGUAAAAUUUUCAGAUAUGAUAAGAUUUGAUAUGAUCUUUGAUAUCAUUUAUGUAUUAUUUAAAACGAUAUACGUUUUUAAACAUACAUACCUACUCAUGAUAAAGUAUCUAGUAUAUCUUUUGGCGAAUUUUGUCUUCUGGUUCGAACAUAGGUUCGUUAAUUAUUUUCAAUUACAAUUCUGAACACAACAGACCAUGCGUAGCAUAAGUAAUAAGAUAAGUUUGCAAAUAUCUUAUAGACGUAGACAUUGCAUUUUACACUGAUUGUGAGUAAAAUAAUUGGAGUAAUAAAAUAGAUGCUGAUACAUGGUAUUCACAUUACAAUGUAUGCAGGUAACAAUAAAUAAUAUUAGAAGAGCAUAAAUAGUUAGUAAUUAGAAAUUAGAUUAAGUUAAGUAUAAAAAUUAAAAAACAAAAAAUUAAAGAAAUAUAUGACAAAUUUAUUACAUGAUACGAAAACCUGAAUAAUACGUGCAUAUUUAUA
Molecule: unclassified non-coding RNA, 1971 nt
Filed under: Athalia rosae (coleseed sawfly)
Lineage: Eukaryota; Metazoa; Arthropoda; Insecta; Hymenoptera; Athaliidae
Description: misc RNA ENSAEAG00005003975.1
Source: RNAcentral